Molecule: long non-coding RNA, 385 nt
Filed under: Hordeum vulgare
Lineage: Eukaryota; Viridiplantae; Streptophyta; Magnoliopsida; Poales; Poaceae
Description: long non-coding RNA (HVUL_LNC014430)
Source: RNAcentral
UUUUAGUCAUGGGACUAAAACGCAUCCAAGCAACCUAUAAGGCAGACUGCCUUUUGAUUGAGCAAUAAAAUGACCCUGAUCCCCCCGGCCGAAAAAGAAAAGGAAGUAGAUCAGAACUUCUCACGCGAGAAAAAAGAGCGCAAAAAACCUCUGAUCCAGCCGCAUGCACGCGCUGCACGUUGUUGGAUAAAUCGGUGUCGGUGGGCAGUGGGCUCAUGAUGCGUCGCACGUCUCUCUGGCUGAGCCAACGUUCGCGGGCGAUCACCAUCCUUAUUUUAUUUUUUUUCCUGGGUAUCGCGAUCGCAAACACGAUCCUUAAUUACUUGUUAAAUCAAAACUUGGUCAACGAGCAAUCAUCUGAUCGAAUGCAUCAUCAAAUUAGAAA